Asterias rubens (European starfish) is the source of this 3650-nucleotide long non-coding RNA. RefSeq lists it as uncharacterized. Lineage: Eukaryota; Metazoa; Echinodermata; Asteroidea; Forcipulatida; Asteriidae. The transcript has 4 exons. The record is from RefSeq and is a predicted model, not a curated record.
GAAAUUGUGAUACACGAAGUGUGGGCCUUGGACAAUAGUGUUUACUGAAAGUGUCCUAUGGCUUUAAAGGAGAAGAGCAGCCCGCUUCGUCUGCAGAGACUACAACCGCACAAGCAGUGUUACAACUAUGCUAAAAUCUCUCCAGUGGGACACCCUGGAAAGCAGACGGAAAGUGGCACGAAUUUCAAUGCUCCACAAAAUCCACCAUGGUCAGGCUGCCGUCCCGGCAGGAAAGUUCUUACAGCCGGUCACUCGCCAAUCCAGACACAAUCACAACAAGGCCUACCAACUGUUCUCCGCAAACAAAGACUGUUUCAAAUAUUCAUACUUCCCCCAAACAGUAAAAGACUGGAACACAUUACCACCAGACAUCAUAGCCAUCACGGACAAUAAGAUCUUUAAAAGAGCCGUCAUAUCUCACCUAAGAAGUAACUAAAAACUGCACCGCGCACACUCACUCUUCUCGUUUUGCUCUAGUAAGAGCGUUGAGAAUAUUGAUCCAGAUCCAGAUCCAGAUCCGGAAGGUAUUCCUUUGGUGCCUGCAGGAAUCAAAGAUAGUGUUUUCAGGAUUGCCUACGUAACAUCCUGGAAGCCGUGGACCAUCUUCUGACAAAGAGGGCAGUAACACUCGGGUGUAUUGAGCCAGGUGAGAUGGAGUCCAGCUUCGUUGAUGAUGGGGGCUCCCAUAGCUCCUCACCCCCAUGCACACCAGAGGAAAUCCUCAUUCCAUUCCAUGCCCUCCAUGGACAUGAACAACGACUCUUCAGCUCUCCAGAUGAUCUCUACACAUGCCGGAAUAAGUCAUCAGAGUUCAACGAGGAACCAAGUCAAAUGAGCAGGGAACAGAUGCUGCAGUCCAAACAAAAGUCUAAAGGAGUCGGUAAAAGAUCCAAUGCAUGCUUACAAACCGUUCUAGGACUCCUCGACUGAUAGGAAAGAUCUAAAUUCGGGGAAAGGGUUCCGCCACCUCCCUCCAUGUUUGCCAGCGAGCUGAAUUGUCUCUCGGGUGGGUGGCCGACGAGGGGGGAAACCGGGCCGGAUAUCUACGAGACGGGUGCGGGGACAGCAGGGAGAACACCUGUUUCUCAUUGGAGAUUCCGCGAGUGAGUCUCGUCGGUGGGGAUAUCGUUGACGAAGAUGAGGAGUCCGUCCCCCACUGUGAGUUCUCGUCUAGAUUCUCGCUGCUGUGUCGCCCGCGUUUGUUCUUUGCACCAGCUGUAACGACAACGCUGCCCCGGUCUGGCUGCGACGACACUGGAGUGCUCAGCCGGUCCUCACAACCUGUCCUUGCAAUAAUUUGGGGCUGCUCGGGAAGCGGCUGUCGAUGAUGGGUGCCGCUCGAGGCAAAGACAUAGACCUUGCCAGGAAUUGAAUAUCAUAACGCGCACAAAUUCACUAAGCAGAACUGGGCAACUGAGUCGUACUGCAUUUGUACUGCUUUACGACCAGAUUCCCAGAUAGCUUAUUGCUUAGCAGAGAAAGUUGUCCAGAGGCAGCUUCAUCACCUGAAACAUCUUUGUACCUGAUUUUUGCUGUUUUAUAGUAACCAUCGUUGAUGUUGUAAAAAAUGGGAAGCAGUCGCCACCACUGCUGAUGCCAAAUCUUCAAAAUUUAAAUUAUUGUGUAAUUAUAAAUGGCCAAGCGAGGGAGACAUUUCUAGGAAAUUUUGUGAGCUUCAUUAUGAAAAAGAGAAAACAGUUGGAAAAAUGAAAAUGGUUGUCCAGAAAUAAGCGGUCCUCUUACACAAACGAAGGUUUUAGGCCGCAACAAAUUUGAGUUGUCGAAAUAGUCUACCUCUUUUUGAAGUCUCCAGUGACUUGGAGUGUGAACUCAACUUGAGAUUUGUUUCUCCAAUAUAAUUCUUGAAUCCAAUAUUGGCAACCACUAAAUUUUCCCUAAAAAGGAAUGUAAAAACCUGUUAUUUCACACACUUGAACCCUGUUUUUUACUGUUUUUUGACCAUCAGUCAACAUGUGUAUUAGCCAAGGCAUGGAGUGAGCAAAAUGUGUAAUUGACUGAACAGAGGUGCAAGAACUUGUAACUUGUCUGCCUUUUAAUACACUUAGUUUGGGUUCAUUGGGCCAGUGUGCAACCUAUCAAGCUGCUAUCAGCAAUUUUGGUGAUGAGUUGAAUUUAUUUGUAAUGUCUGGUACCUGGUAGAUUACAAAUGAACACUCGGUUUGAAAUUCCUCAGAAUAUUGCUGCAUAAUGUAGAGCAAGUUUUGAAAUACCCAAAACACGAGGGUACUGAAGUACAUGUAUGACCAAUUUGAAGGUUGCAAAACACUACUGAAUAUGUGUCUGUAAUAUUAGGACCAAUGGGAGACUUAAGAUUGCUAGGUGGCAGCAAACACGAGGGUACCGAAGUACAUGUAUGACCAAUUUGAAGGUUGCAAAACACUACUGAAUAUGUGUCUGUAAUAUUAGGACCAAUGGGAGACUUAAGAUUGCUAGGUGGCAGCAAACACGAGGGUACCGAAGUACAUGUAUGACCAAUUUGAAGGUUGCAAAACACUACUGAAUAUGUGUCUGUAAUAUUAGGACCAAUGGGAGACUUAAGAUUGCUAGGUGGCAGCAAACACGAGGGUACCGAAGUACAUGUAUGACCAAUUUGAAGGUUGCAAAACACUACUGAAUAUGUGUCUGUAAUAUUAGGACCAAUGGGAGACUUAAGAUUGCUAGGUGGCAGCAAACACGAGGGUACCGAAGUACAUGUAUGACCAAUUUGAAGGUUGCAAAACACUACUGAAUAUGUGUCUGUAAUAAUAUUAGGACCAAUGGGAGACUUAAGAUUGCUAGGUGGCAGCAAACACGAGGGUACCGAAGUACAUGUAUGACCAAUUUGAAGGUUGCAAAACACUACUGAAUAUGUGUCUGUAAUAUUAGGACCAAUGGGAGACUUAAGAUUGCUAGGUGGCAGCAGACUAACCAGGUAAAUGUCCAUUGUUUAUGUAGUUCUGAGCAUGUGCCCAUUACCAAGAAUAAUGAGUUUACAAUACUCCUAAGUGAUCUUUUUAUUUUGGUUGUGAAACCCUGCGCUGAAGUGUCCUAAGCACUGUAUUCUUGGUACUUUCUGAUUCUUUGCUGAAAAAGAACUCUACAGGCAAACUUGUUUAUUAUUGAUACCCACUUAUUUUUGCUUAGCAGUGUACAUGAGGCCAGCGGCUCUAUGUGAUCACUCCCAGGUCAUACAUAGUUAUUAGGUCGGAAGUUUUAUCAAUCAAAGUUAAACUGCCAUGAUAUGAAAGAACAGAUGUUCACUCUCAAAAGAAAAUGCCUAGUUUGGGGGAUUUCUGUUUGUUUUUUGUUUUCACUGUUGAGCUGGAAAGUUUGGGACAAAAAAGUAAUAUGAGUUGAAUGUGAGUAUGUGACCAAUUGGAGAUGUUUGGACGGUCCUUUUGUAACAGCUCUUGCGUGUCAUCAGCGUCUUUAAAGUCUUUGGAAGGCAACUGUCUUAAACUUAGUGUUGUAUACUGCAUGGCUCUCAUCGAAUAACUGGUUCUGUAUGUGAUAUAUUUGCUUUGGCCCACUUGGUUACACCCAGCUCAUAAAUAUUAAGUACUGUCUACUUUGCAUACAGCUCAUGUCAAAGGUCACACCAUGACCUGCAUUCCCAGGUAUAGUUAAUAAAACGUUUUUCCAGUAUGGCA